RNAcentral lists this ribosomal RNA (512 nucleotides) under uncultured bacterium. RNAcentral's name for it is "partial 16S ribosomal RNA". It matches the Rfam family "Bacterial small subunit ribosomal RNA", at positions 28 to 507 of the family's 1533-position model. The record is from RNAcentral.
GAUGAACGCUGGCGGCGAGCCUAAUACAUGCAAGUCGAACGAAACUUCUUUAUCACCGAGUGCUUGCACUCACCGAUAAAGAGUUGAGUGGCGAACGGGUGAGUAACACGUGGGCAACCUGCCCAAAAGAGGGGGAUAACACUUGGAAACAGGUGCUAAUACCGCAUAACCAUAGUUACCGCAUGGUAACUAUGUAAAAGGUGGCUAUACUACCGCUUUUGGAUGGGCCCGCGGCGCAUUAGCUAGUUGGUAGGGUAAAGGCUUACCAAGGCAAUGAUGCGUAGCCGAAUUGAGAGGUUGAUCGGCCACAUUGGGACUGAGACACGGCCCAAACUCCUACGGGAGGCAGCAGUAGGGAAUCUUCCACAAUGGGCGAAAGCCUGAUGGAGCAACGCCGCGUGGGUGAAGAAGGUCUUCGGAUCGUAAAACCCUGUUGUUAGAGAAGAAAGUGCGUGAGAGUAACUGUUCACGUUUCGACGGUAUCUAACCAGAAAGCCACGGCUAACUACGUG